GUGGGACUACAGAAUCUGGACCAGAUAUGGAUGGCUGGAGUUUGCAGUGGUGUAGCUGUGUUGGAGGGCGUGUAAGUGACAUGUUGAGACUGGGGCUCUUGAAAACGCCUAGAUUGACAAUCCUGAAGACCAAAGUCCUCUACUAACCCAUAGAACAGAUACGGCACUGGGAGCAGCAACAUAAGAAUCCUCAAUGCUACCCUUUGUCAAUGUGCCACUUGGGAUGGGCGUGGCAGCCAGGUGCAGCAGCUGCUUCCAGAUCUCAAGUCUACCCCAGAUCAAUUGCAUCACCUCUUCCAAAGCACUGUCCAACUGGUGAGAAGGAUUCCAGGCAUAUAUGUGGGAACUGAACGCAUCUCCUUCACACAGCUAUCCAGAAAGUGGAGCAGCCUUAUUUAGAAGGAAAUUAUACAGACGGGAAGAGGUGUAAAUAGUGGAGAGUUAAAGAUAAAACUUUCAAAAGUACCUAAGUAAUUUAGGAG
Long non-coding RNA from Mauremys reevesii (Reeves's turtle), 482 nucleotides. RefSeq lists it as uncharacterized. Lineage: Eukaryota; Metazoa; Chordata; Testudines; Geoemydidae. The transcript has 3 exons. The record is from RefSeq and is a predicted model, not a curated record.